CCUGGCUCAGGAUGAACGCUAGCUACAGGCUUAACACAUGCAAGUCGAGGGGCAGCAUUGGGAUAGCUUGCUAUUCAGAUGGCGACCGGCGCACGGGUGAGUAACGCGUAUCCAACCUUCCUGCCAGUAGGGAACAGCCCGGCGAAAGUCGGAUUAAUGCCCUAUGUUCUUCAAUGCGGACAUCUAAGUUGAAGGAAAGAUUCAUCGCUGGCAGAUGGGGAUGCGUCCGAUUAGCUUGCCGGCGGGGUAACGGCCCACCGGGGCGACGAUCGGUAGGGGUUCUGAGAGGAAGGUCCCCCACACUGGUACUGAGACACGGACCAGACUCCUACGGGAGGCAGCAGUGAGGAAUAUUGGUCAAUGGGCGUAAGCCUGAACCAGCCAAGUAGCGUGCAGGAUGACGGCCCUACGGGUUGUAAACUGCUUUUAUGCGGGGAUAAAGUGCGGCACGUGUGCCGCUUUGCAGGUACCGCAUGAAUAAGGACCGGCUAAUUCCGUGCCAGCAGCUGC
Molecule: ribosomal RNA, 510 nt
Filed under: uncultured bacterium
Lineage: Bacteria
Description: bacterial SSU rRNA
Rfam family: Bacterial small subunit ribosomal RNA
Source: RNAcentral